CCAAUAGCGUAUAUUAAAGUUGCUGCAGUUAAAAAGCUCGUAGUUGAAUUUCGGGACUAAUAUGUCGGUCGUGCCUCGGUACGUACUGGCUUAUUGGUUUCUCCUUUCUGAAGAACCAUGAUGUCAUUUAUUUGGUGUCGUGGGGAAUCAGGACUGUUACUUUGAAAAAAUUAGAGUGUUUAAAGCAGGCUUUAGCUUGAAUACAUUAGCAUGGAAUAAUGAAAUAGGACGUUCGAACCUAUUUUGUUGGUUUCUAGGAUCAACGUAAUGAUUAAUAGGGAUAGUUGGGGGCAUUAGUAUUCAAUUGUCAGAGGUGAAAUUCUUGGAUUUAUUGAAGACUAACUACUGCGAAAGCAUUUGCCAAGGAUGUUUUCAUUAAUCAAGAACGAAAGUUAGGGGAUCGAAGACGAUCAGAUACCGUCGUAGUCUUAACCAUAAACUAUGCCGACUAGGGAUCGGAUGAUGUUAAUUUUUUAAUGACUCAUUCGGCGCCUUACG
RNAcentral lists this ribosomal RNA (498 nucleotides) under uncultured Glomus. RNAcentral describes it as "SSU rRNA". It matches the Rfam family "Eukaryotic small subunit ribosomal RNA", at positions 591 to 1092 of the family's 1831-position model. The record is from RNAcentral. Lineage: Eukaryota; Fungi; Glomeromycota; Glomeromycetes; Glomerales; Glomeraceae.